GACAGAGGGUGCAAACGUUGUUCGGAAUUACUGGGCGUAAAGCGCGUGUAGGCGGCAGCGUGUGUCGGGCGUGAAAUCCCACGGCUCAACCGUGGAAGUGCACCCGAAACUGCGCAGCUAGAGUCCUGGAGAGGAAGGUGGAAUACUUGGUGUAGAGGUGAAAUUCGUAGAUAUCAAGUGGAACACCGGUGGCGAAGGCGGCCUUCUGGACAGUGACUGACGCUGAGACGCGAAAGCGUGGGGAGCAAACAGG
RNAcentral lists this ribosomal RNA (253 nucleotides) under uncultured bacterium. RNAcentral describes it as "partial 16S ribosomal RNA". It matches the Rfam family "Bacterial small subunit ribosomal RNA", at positions 524 to 776 of the family's 1533-position model. The record is from RNAcentral. RNAcentral also lists the same sequence under 1 other name.